Magnolia sinica is the source of this 486-nucleotide long non-coding RNA. RefSeq lists it as uncharacterized. The transcript has 3 exons. The record is from RefSeq and is a predicted model, not a curated record. NCBI's taxonomy places the organism in Eukaryota, Viridiplantae, Streptophyta, Magnoliopsida, Magnoliales, Magnoliaceae.
UGUAUGGAGUAUAUGCCAAACGGUGAGAGAGGAAGUCACAAGCAUACACAUCAAAGGUUCCUGAACGAUGAUAGGGUGUGUGAUGAAGAGCCUUUGGAUAAUGGGAAGAAUGUAUACUUAACUAACAUACAACAUCAACAAGUACGUAGAUGGGUUCUACACUGCUAUGUUGGAAUUUAUGAAUGAAACAGAAAGUAUGAAAUAUAUUUAGGACCGACCACAUCAAAGGGGCAAAGAAGAAAGGGCAGUGUGUCGAAGAACAUUGAACAUGAUUUCAUCAAUUGGUUACGAAAUGAGUUGGAGUUUGUUGAGGGCGAGUUGACAUUGAAACGAUUAGUAGAUGGCCUUACAUUUAAGGCAAAAUGCUAUAACAAGUAUCGCGUGAAUGGUUUUGUAUUCUCUCCAAGUAAAUAUGAGACUACUAAGUCAACAUAAAAUAGUGGGGUGUCUAUGAAAGCCAUCACUAAAUACUGGGCAAGUGCUAAA